RNAcentral lists this microRNA precursor (68 nucleotides) under Microtus ochrogaster (prairie vole). RNAcentral's name for it is "miRNA (ENSMOCG00000009380.1)". Lineage: Eukaryota; Metazoa; Chordata; Mammalia; Rodentia; Cricetidae. The record is from RNAcentral.
ACCACUCACCGAGAGGAGGUGGGGUCAGGACGGGCUUAGCCCUGUGAGCCACCAAUUCCUGUGUGCAG